Molecule: ribosomal RNA, 518 nt
Filed under: uncultured bacterium
Lineage: Bacteria
Description: bacterial SSU rRNA
Rfam family: Bacterial small subunit ribosomal RNA
Source: RNAcentral
CGCUGGCGGCGUGCCCUAAUACAUGCAAGUCGAACGCACUACUCGUUUAGAAUUUGAAGGAGCUUGCUCCUGAUUGAUAAACAUUUGAGUGAGUGGCGGACGGGUGAGUAACACGUGGGUAACCUGCCCUAAAGUGGGGGAUAACAUUUGGAAACAGAUGCUAAUACCGCAUAAAACCUAACACCGCAUGGUGUAGGGUUGAAAGAUGGUUUCGGCUAUCACUUUAGGAUGGACCCGCGGUGCAUUAGUUAGUUGGUGAGGUAAAGGCUCACCAAGACCGUGAUGCAUAGCCGACCUGAGAGGGUAAUCGGCCACACUGGGACUGAGACACGGCCCAGACUCCUACGGGAGGCAGCAGUAGGGAAUCUUCCACAAUGGACGAAAGUCUGAUGGAGCAACGCCGCGUGAGUGAAGAAGGUUUUCGGAUCGUAAAACUCUGUUGUUGGAGAAGAAUGUAUCUGAUAGUAACUGAUCAGGUAGUGACGGUAUCCAACCAGAAAGCCACGGCUAACUACGUG